Molecule: small nuclear RNA, 221 nt
Filed under: Stegodyphus mimosarum
Lineage: Eukaryota; Metazoa; Arthropoda; Arachnida; Araneae; Eresidae
Description: U2 spliceosomal RNA
Rfam family: U2 spliceosomal RNA
About the family: U2 is a small nuclear RNA (snRNA) component of the spliceosome (involved in pre-mRNA splicing). Complementary binding between U2 snRNA (in an area lying towards the 5' end but 3' to hairpin I) and the branchpoint sequence (BPS) of the intron results the bulging out of an unpaired adenosine, on the BPS, which initiates a nucleophilic attack at the intronic 5' splice site, thus starting the first of two transesterification reactions that mediate splicing.
Source: RNAcentral
AUCGCUUCUCGGCCUUUUGGCUAAGAUCAAAGUGUAGUAUCUGUUCUUAUCAGCUUAAUCGGUGGACUAGUUGCUUUUGUCUAAUCGACAGCCUCAUAGUACCGAUUAAGCAGUGGGAACAGCCCUCCAUUUACAUUGUUCAUUAGUUUGUUUUAUUUUUUUAGGAUAUUCUGGUGAAAAUGUCUGUGGAGUAGACUCCUCGUCCGGAGGGCGGAGCUGAA